This 1973-nucleotide long non-coding RNA is filed under the name Eucalyptus grandis. RNAcentral's name for it is "long non-coding RNA (EGRA_LNC002102)". Lineage: Eukaryota; Viridiplantae; Streptophyta; Magnoliopsida; Myrtales; Myrtaceae. The record is from RNAcentral.
CAUCCUUCAAAUAGAAGUCUCCCCAAAGACCCCUUUAAGAAAUCUCGAGUUUUGCCACUUUGUUUGUCCUGUAUAAUAAUUUCUUAUUAAGCAUAAUCGAAGCAUGUUUGACUUAUAACCUGAUGGGAUUUUGAUGAAGACAUGUUCGACAAUAAUUGUCCUUUGUUCCUAGUAACUUGACAGCAUUCCAUGUCUUGAUGAUGCAGCACCAUAGAAGCACCAGCAAAAAGAUUUUUUUGUUAUUGAUAACAGCGACAGUUGGUUUGACCACCCUUUUCGAGGAAUCAAGAAGAAUCCCAGAGUCUCAUUGUUUUGUCAUCCAUUCCACCCAGAUCUUAUGCAAGCCAACUCGAAAACGUUGCUACUUGUUCAAAAACUUGAAUACGAACUGACCCAACAUCUCAAAGGUCCCAGAGAAGAGCGGCCAACCAGCCAAGAGCAAGGACAGUUGCGCCAUUUCAUGCAAUUCCUGAGUAUGAGAUACCAAACCGUUUGGUCAAUAACAACAGAGCAUUGUAAAGCAACCCAAACAAAAGCACAAACUUUUCUUAUCGGGCAAAAAUAUUCAUGAACUUAUAACCUUAAACAAAAAUAACAUCAUUUUUCUAAAGACCCCAGAAACAGCAUUAAGUUUUGCUUGAGAGGUAUAUAUAUGCGUCCGUUAAAGAAGUUUAUUUGGCAUUCUAAUAGCAAUGACGUGACAUGUUAGCCGAGCCAAAAUGACACUGUUUUGUGUUUGUCAUAAUGGAUGAUAUGCUCAAUUCACUUCGCAAUUGACCAGGGACAUAACUCCGUAUCCUAUUCUAUCAAGAGUACGUAAGUUUGACCCAACACGAAAAAUUUCGCGAACUGGACUUGAGUAAAACCAUUUCAGAACUUGAUCCGGUUUGGGUGAAGCAAUGUUAGUAGCAUUACAUCUUUUGAAGAGAUGUAUUUGCGGUGCCUUGUUUCGAGAUCCCAGCAAACCGAAUCAACAAAGAGAUGUAUUUGCCUUCAAUCUAUCUAAAUCAAAUAUCUUAAUCAGAAUAAAGAGAAAUGUGGCACAUGGUAUACCAAUACGCUAUCAUGCAAAAUCAAAUUCCAUGCAUAUAUACAUGAUUGUGCAAACAUGAUACUAUCUCGACUGCUCGAUUGGAAUAAAUUUAAUCGGCACUGAGUGAGAGAUGCAUCAAAUGGUGGAACUCCCAAAAAAUCGACAUUAUGACACAAGAGACAACAUCAUUUGUUUGCCUAGAAAUCACAAUGUUAAAUACACACAAGAUGAAAGCAUCUCCCACCAAAAAAAUAGUAGAGAACUCAAACAAGGCUGGUUAAUCAAAGACGUGCUCUUUUGGAACAACAAACCCAAAAAGCUGAAUCCGAACUCUCUCAAAUGCAAAUCGAUUAGGGUCCAUAGCUCAAUUAAUAACCAUGCAAAUCGCACUAGAAUUCUCUCAGAUUGACCAAUAACAGAAGCAAAUCGAUGAGGAGAAGAAAAUGAGGUGUUCAUUUUAAAAAUUAUCGUAGACGAAUCGAUGAAAACAGGCAAUAGAAGAGGGAUACGUUGCCAGAGACAUCACUGGUCGAGAUUGAUGAUCGCCUGAAGGAGAGAGAUCAUAAUGGACGGUAACGCCGGGACCUAGAACCGUCAAAGGGAGGAAUAGACCUAGAUUGUGUACUUCGGCAGCGAUGAAUCUGAAAUAGGGGCGAACAUAGCCUCUUCACAGCCACAGAACUAGAGGCGAUCGGGCAGCUCCCAAUAGUUGUAAUUGACGCGACUGAGAGGAAAUAAAGAUGGAGAAUCCUCCGGAAACCGAUUCUCUGAGAGAGAAUUUUCUCCCUGAGCUCCCCUUGUGCCCCUGCUUUGUUCUUAGCGGAUGAGCUCUCUGCGAUGACUGCGUGUGUCGACGGCCCGGCGAUGGAAGAUCGGCGAUGGCUAGCGGUGGCCUCAGGGCGAUGGAGAGGGGAUCGCCAUGAGAAGCUGCGUAAGCCCG